GUAAAUGCAUUGAUAAAGAGAGUACACUGCAUACUGUGGAAAAAGAGAAGAUUGCCUUGGCUGAAAGCAAUCCCGAAACAGGCGCAUUGGAAGUUCGCUUUUGAGCAUCAUGGCUGAAGCCGCAAGGUGUGUAAGCUUUUGACGAGUUGGACGCGUUAAGUCUUCAUGAGGGGUUUUCGCACUGCGAAAACUACUAGAGUGGUACCGCGGAAGAAUACAGCCUUUCGUCUCUAUU
This 235-nucleotide non-coding RNA is filed under the name Peptoclostridium litorale. RNAcentral describes it as "Clostridium litorale T-box sequence". It matches the Rfam family "T-box leader". Rfam says of the family: Uncharged tRNA acts as the effector for transcription antitermination of genes in the T-box leader family. The record is from RNAcentral. Lineage: Bacteria; Bacillati; Bacillota; Clostridia; Peptostreptococcales; Peptoclostridiaceae.